UGGCUAGCCUUGACUACAGGCUCAGGUGACAUCUUGCUCCAAGCCUUCUGGUCCCACCCUCAUCACCCAGGCCUUCCUGACUUUCUCUUCAUGUCAGUCCCAGUCAGAGGAUUUAAUGUCUACCUCCUGGUAGAUUUUGUGAGGGGAGAUGCUGUGAGCCCUCAGCACUGUGUUCAAAUCCCAUGACUACUAAGAAGGACAAAAUUUCCGUGGGAGAUACUGUAUAAAUGCGUGUGUUGGGUGAGUGGACAGAUGGACAGGGAAACAACAUGCAGGAGAAUAUGCUCUGACGGUCCACAGGAAGAAGAUGGAUGCACAGCAGAAACGAGAGCCCGGAACAACCCCCACGAGAUCCCAGGAACAGAUCCAUGGAGGACCCAGAAUGUACUGGGAAAGAAAGAAGGCUAUUCGAGCUCACCAGGCCUGCUAAAACGGAGGACCACAGGCUGUCAGUGACAGAAGAAAUCAGUUUCCUCCAGGUCUGGAGGCUGCCAUCCACGGUCAAGAGAGGGCAGGCUGAUGUCUUCGGAGGCCUUCUUUCCUGGGCUUAGCGAUGGCUAUCUCCUUCCUGUGCCUUCCCACUGCCCCCUCAACCCCCACUGUAAAUAUUGUGUCCUAAAUUCCUCUUCUUCUAAAGACACAGUCUUACUGGAUUAAGGCCUCAACGCCCUCUUUUUACUUCACCGCUAUAAAAGCUGAGCCCAGAUAGAAGUCCUGAG
This 719-nucleotide long non-coding RNA is filed under the name Mus spicilegus (steppe mouse). Its description in RNAcentral is "lncRNA (ENSMSIG00000001265.1)". Lineage: Eukaryota; Metazoa; Chordata; Mammalia; Rodentia; Muridae. The record is from RNAcentral.